Doryrhamphus excisus (bluestripe pipefish) is the source of this 2466-nucleotide non-coding RNA. The record is from RefSeq and is a predicted model, not a curated record. Lineage: Eukaryota; Metazoa; Chordata; Actinopteri; Syngnathiformes; Syngnathidae.
AUCCGCCAUGCAGCCCAGUGUGUGUAUCAAUACUUUUUAAACAUUUUGAGCGCAUGCAACAAUACUAUAAUAAUUAUGAUAACCAUGAUCAUACAUGAAUAAGAACACAAGACAAUGUAUAAUAUCAAACAUGAGUCAUAGAGAAGUGUCGGGGGGGUCAGCAGGUUUGUGGCCUUGUUCUCAUGGAGUCAGCCAUGCCUUCACUUACAUGCAAUGUGCACCUCUUAUUUAUUUUUUUUUUAAAGGUGUCAUGUUGGGCUUAAACAAUAAUGACCAGGCUAAACAUUGGCAGCCUCUCCAAUGAGUGAAGACGACGCUAUCAGACGCAGACUUCCUGUCCCUUCCUCCCGUCUCGGGUUGUUUUAUGGAGUGAUUAGUGGUGUGUCGCGGCCCUUGAGGUGAGGGGGAGUGAGGAGAUUUCUGAUUACCUGACAAGUCACGACAGGAGAGGCUACACUUAGCCCAUUAAAGAUUUUUUUUUCCCCAUUUCUCCGUCAUGACAUUUGAGAGCCGCUGAGAAAGCCGCACACCACCUCGCCAUUUCCCCCGUGCACGUGGCCUCCACUUAGGACUGAGGGAGGGGGGUUGGGGGGGGGGGGGUCUAGAGAGCGAGCGACGGCGACUGGGCCAUCAUGGCUGCACAAAUGGACUUCAUUCACCAAGGUGAACCGUACUACACUGAUAAAUGCACUUCCUUGAAUGUCAGCAAAUGUCACCCAAGAAGCCAUUUGCCGCCACUUUAAUAGCUUCUUCUCCACGCUGCCGCACACAGGAGGAGGAGGAGGAGGAGGAAGAGGAGGAGUCAGAAGGAAGCAACUGAGAUCCGCCGAUCCGAGCGAUGACAAUCAGUUAUCGUCUGGUAGUUUGUGCUGGAAAAAAGCGGGAAAGCUCAGAAGACGAGUCAGGAGGAUCAUCAGACGACCUGACCAACAAAGAUGAACCGGAACACCUUCAUCCUCCAGAUCAGCAGGCCUCCUGACGUCCAAGCGGACCCCCCCCCAAUUUGUAGAAACUGGAAUCCUCUGGAAUACUUUUCAUAGUACAUUGAUGAGUCUUUGAAGAAUUCACACAUCAGAGAGAGAUACAGAUGAUCAGCGUUGAAGAAAUGAGCAUGUGGAUCCACGUGCUGCCCCGUCUUGGUCUUCCCAGAAUUGACAUGUUAUGAGCCAGAAAAACCAAAGCGUCAAUUCUAGAGCAGAAAAUGACAAGGAACAGGUUCUUCAAGUUGAUGUAAGAGAUGAAACAAAGAAGAAAGAUGUUCUGUCUGCAUGAGUGCAUGGAUGUAUGAAGGUAUACAUAUAAGUGACAGAAUAGCAUAGCAUCGCUAACGGGGACACAUUGUCAAAUCUCAAAUAAAGAUGUUUUAUAACGUUUAUGAAUAAAUGAUGGCUGCUUUAGGUGGACUAUGGUGAUGUAAAUAAAGAUAGCGGUUGUGCGAAUCAAGUGAAAAACAUCAUAGGGUAUUUCAUAGGGUAUGAUAGGCAUGAUAGACUGAUGUCAAUUUUUUUUUAAUGCUACGCAAUCAACCCACAUUAUGUUCUUUAAUAAGCAGCGUGUGAGUUAUUAUGCCUUUUCAUGUCUACGUACUAUACUUAUAAUAUACUGGUAAUAUGAGUGUAAAAGUGACUAUAGGGGUGCUACUUCAUGUCAAGAGAGCUCUAAAAAAAUUUGUUAAUAUUGAAUCCUACUUCUUCCACUGUCGGGUAUGUAAUAAAUUAACCACGAUCAACGAGGGAUGACUGCAUAGUUUUGCGUAGGGGGUUUGAAUUAAGCUAUGGGUUCUAAACAUAACAAAUUAGCAUUAUAUUCCUCGUUAGUGAUGCAUUUUUACUCACAUUUUUGAGGAAUUCAAAAAUACUGUCUGGACAAACUACCAGGUUUUUAGGCAUCAUCCAAAAUGUCUCCCAGUGCGAACAAUUAAGAGAUUUAAUCAAACCAUUUAUUAAUUAAAAGGUGCGUCUUAACACUUGUGUUGCACGGUGCUCGAGUGGUUAGCACGUAGGCCACACAGUUGAUUCUCCGCUUUGGAGUUUGUGUGCUGAGUUUGCAUGUUAAUAUUCUGUAUUCAAAAUCUUUAAUUCGGUAGUAUUCUGAUUUAGCUUCAGCUUUUAUGUUCAUCUUUUUGUUUCAUUUUAAGUCACAUCAUGAGAGUUUUGGAUGAAAUAAUAAAAGUGGAGUUAUCAUUUGUAUUAAUGCAUUGGAUGUUGGGACGCGCAAGUGCUGAGACAAAGCAAGAGCUGUGGCAAUAUUGCAAGAACAACUGUAUCCGUUGUUGUGCUAAUCCUAAAUGAAAUAUGUAUUCAGUAAAAAAAAAAAAAGGAUUAGGGCAUCCAGUGUCAUGAAAGAAACCACUUACCAGCACCAAAGGUAAUUUGUAACCUUAGCAACCGCUUUUGGAAAUGGAGGAUUAGGAUUGGCCAGCACGCACACACACGCACACAAAUGCUGCUACUUCAAGUACACUAA